Legionella spiritensis is the source of this 84-nucleotide regulatory RNA element. It matches the Rfam family "traJ-II RNA", at positions 4 to 92 of the family's 104-position model. The record is from Rfam. Lineage: Bacteria; Pseudomonadati; Pseudomonadota; Gammaproteobacteria; Legionellales; Legionellaceae.
CAAGAUAGGUGAAGUUAGCUAACCAGCAAGCUGGCCAUCAAACUUCACGGGUCUUAUUCGCACCUUCGGUGCUCAACGUUUUUG